CUCCCCAGUGGAACUGAGAGAGGAUUUUUCGCUGGUAUUUUCAGUGGAAAUUUUGUUGAGCUCCUGGAGUUUCCUUUUACAUCAAGACUGCAGAAAAUGAUUCCUGCCUCCUUCUGACCUCUAUAUAUUAAGACCCAGCGACAAAAGAAUAGAAAAAGGGAGGUGAGAGAAAUCAGUGAUAGUG
Long non-coding RNA from Talpa occidentalis (Iberian mole), 184 nucleotides. RefSeq lists it as uncharacterized. The transcript is spliced from 3 exons. NCBI's taxonomy places the organism in Eukaryota, Metazoa, Chordata, Mammalia, Eulipotyphla, Talpidae. The record is from RefSeq and is a predicted model, not a curated record.